GUCUCUUCGGUGACAUACGAUAAAUUUGGAACGAUAGAGAGAAGAUUAGUGCGAUCAUCAUGCACGAAUCAUGAAAACAUCCCAAUUUUU
Molecule: small nuclear RNA, 90 nt
Filed under: Amborella trichopoda
Lineage: Eukaryota; Viridiplantae; Streptophyta; Magnoliopsida; Amborellales; Amborellaceae
Source: RNAcentral